RNAcentral lists this ribosomal RNA (421 nucleotides) under uncultured archaeon. RNAcentral describes it as "partial 16S ribosomal RNA". It matches the Rfam family "Archaeal small subunit ribosomal RNA", at positions 323 to 746 of the family's 1478-position model. The record is from RNAcentral.
CUACGGGAUGCUCCAGUUAGGAAUAUUUUGCAAUGCGCGCAAGCGUGACAAAUUGAGCCAGAGUGCUUCUCAUAUUGAGAAGCUUUUGUUAAAUGUAAAAAGUUUAACGAAUAAGGACUGGGUAAGACUAGUGCCAGCCGCCGCGGUAAUACUAGCGGUCCAAGUCGCAGCCAUUUUUAUUGGGUCUAAAACAUCCGUAGCUUGCUUUAUAAGUUUCUUGUGAAAUUUCGUGUCUCAAGCAUGGAGCGUGCAAGAAGUACUGUAAAGCUAGAGACUGGAAGACGUGGGAAGUAUGUUCAAAGUAGGGUAAAAUGUGUUAAUCUUGAACAGACUAACAAUAGCGAAGGCAUCCUGCGAGGACAGUUCUGACAGUAAGGGAUGAAGGCUAGGGGCGCAAAACGGAUUAGAUACCCCUGUAGUC